This 4801-nucleotide long non-coding RNA is filed under the name Gossypium barbadense (sea-island cotton). RNAcentral describes it as "long non-coding RNA (GBAR_LNC015954)". Lineage: Eukaryota; Viridiplantae; Streptophyta; Magnoliopsida; Malvales; Malvaceae. The record is from RNAcentral.
GCUUUAGCGGCGUUUUUGAAGAAGCGCCGCUAAUGCUAGGGCUUUAGCGGCGUUUUUGGAAAAGCGCCGCUAAAAACAUUUUAUCUUAAUUGGUUUAUUUAUAUUAAGUAAAUAAAAUUCAAUUUAUUUCUAAUUGAAUAUUCAAAGAAUUAUGAUUGUUUUUUAAUUUAUAUAUUAAAAAAUUUCUUAUAUAAUUGUAAAAGAAAUAGUAUUAAUUUUAAAAUAUUGAAUUAAUUAUCACUAUAGUUUAGGGUUUUUGGUUUAGGGUAUGGUAUAUGAUUUAUUUAAGAUUUAAGGCCAGUUUAGGAGUUACUAUUUUAAGGUUUAGGGAGUAUGGAUUAGGGAUUAUGGUUUAAGGGUUGAGAAUUAAUGUUUAGGGGUUAGAGGUUUAGGGGUUUAGGGGUUAGAUGUUAUGGGUUAAGAGUUAAGAAUUUAGGGUUUAGGGAUUCAGGGGUCGAGUUAGGAUUUUGGGCGUUUAGAUUAAUUUUUUUAAUUUAUGUUUUAAAUAUGUUCUUAUAUAAUUGUAAAAGAGAUAAUAAUAAAUUUGUUUAGGGUUUUUGGUUUAAGGUAUAUGAUUUAUUUAAGAUUUAAGGCCGGUUUAGGAGUUCAUAUUUUAAGGUUUAGGGAGUAUGGAUUUAUGGAUUAUGAAUUAGUGAUUAUGGUUUAAGGGUUGGGAUUUAAGAUUUAGGGAUUAGAGGGUUAUGGGUUUAUGGGUACUUAGACGCGUUAGGGGUUAAAAGUUAGGGAUUCAGGGGUCAGGUUAGGGUUUUGGGUUUAGAUUAAUUAUUUUUUUAAUUUAUAUUUUAAAUAUGUUCUUAUAUAAUUGUAAAAGAGAUAAUAAUAAAUUUGUUUAGGGUUUUUAGUUUAGGGUAUAUUAUUAAUUUAAGAUUUAAGGCCGGUUUAGGUAUUCAUAUUUUAAGGUUUAUGGAGUGUGGAUUUAGGGAUUAUGGUUUAAGGGUUGGGAUUUAAUGUUUAGGGGUUAGAGGUUUCCCCCUUCUCUGCUGCAUAACUCCAGGGAGAAAUUAAUAAUGUUUGGUGGACAGGUAUGCUUAAUCAACUUCAUUUUAGUUUAGGGUAUAUUAUUAAUUUGACAGGUAUAAUUUCCCCCCUUCUCUGCUGCAUAACUCCAGGGAGAAAUUAAUAAUGUUUGGUGGACAGGUAUGCUUAAUCAACUUCAUUUUAACUGUAAGCUUUUCAUGUAGCCAUUAUGUCUCAUCCUUCUUGUUGAGUCAUCAUGUCAUGUGGGGGAUCAAGUAUUUAAAUGUUUCACUGGAUAUAUGUGCAUUUAAGCAUGUUGUGCACAUCAUUUUUCACCUCAGGUUCUGUUAGGUCAUAUCCUUUAGAUGUUUAUGCUAAAGAACUGUGACCUUUUUUAUCAAUUAUUUUGUGCUGGAAUUAGUGGUGCACCUCAAGAUAACAACAUUAUGCUUUGGAAUGCGGUUAUAUUUGGGUAUAUUAUGAAAUAAGACUAGAGAAUCUUUAUGUACUUGCUUUUUAGAUUAAAGUUCUAUUAAAUGUUUUAUAUUUAAAUUGUUCCUAUUUAAAUUGUUUUAUAUAUCCAUUUGUGGAGUUGCCUGAGAAAGUAUGGAUUGUCUCAUUUUUUAUUUUUAAAGAAUUUUAAAAUCAGAAGUACAUAUUCUUCAUCUUGGACAGUAACCUAGCUUGGUUAUCCAAUACGAAUACUGUAGGUAAGGUUGGCAGUUGAUGCUAUUUUAAUGGGAUUAAUGGGAGAUAUCCUGAUAGGUACUAUAUGCUUUCAACCCUUGAUAUGGUAUAUCAAGUCCUAAAUCAAAUAAACAUUUAGAUUUGUCUACCCCUAGAAGUAAUGUAUACUUCCAGCCCUUGCGUGAUAUUGUACCUAACACUCACAUUUGGAAAUGUUAAACAUACUUGUGUCAGAGGCAUACUUGUACCUAACACUCACAUUUGAGUCUGACUAAGUAGCUAAAAGUAUUUUGCACUGGUCCAGUGUUCACUAUUUUAUCCUAGGUUUUGAAAUUCAUGGGUUAUUACUGGUACCAUGUACUUCACUCACUGAAUCUUUUGGCUGAAAUUCAUGCCUCUUAACUGUCCCUUGUUUCUUAUUGAUCUACUUUUACCCUUUUUUUUUCUAAGAUACGCUGAUUUUGCAUUGUUUUCACGUGCUUAUUUCUGCUCUUGUUCUCAGUGAUGUAAGAUUGAAUUAGUUUAAAAGUGUUUUCUGCUAAUGGGUAUUGUUUAGCACUCUUCAGUCUAAACUAUUGUAAUUUAUAUUUAUUGUGGAUAUAUUGCCAUGUCUAUGUUUUUGAAUUUGAUGAAUUACUGAUAUGCACGACGUGUUUGCUUUACUAGACUUUAAAUGGUGGAAUUUCUUUGUUUUUGGAUACACAGUUUUGAGAUUUCUUUUGAAUUCAAAAUUGCCCAAGCUGCAUUUAAGUGAUUGCAUAUGUGAAAGUGUGCGUUUUUCUUGUCCAUAUGUCACAUGUCAGGCUUUAAGUUUAUGAAACCUGAGGAUUAGUAUAUAAUAGAUAUAUCAUUAUUUUUUGUUUAGAUAAUUAAGCACCAGCUAUGUUUAGCAAUUAACUUCUGUCAGGCUAGUUAAAUUUUUAAUAAUCAACUUUCAAUCCCAGCUGAGAACUUCGUUUUUAAUAACCAUGUUUUUGUUACCUAAGUUUUUCACCAUUCAUCCCUCUUUAUCAUAUAUUCAUGCUAGGUUGGAAACUAAAGGAGGUUAACCUUUUAUUUCUUUGUAGAAGGAUAAUACUUGCUAUAUAAUGGUUAAGACUGAAAGUAAUAUCAUUCCUAUGUUUUUAGAAAAUAUUUUAAUUUUUUAUGAAAGUAAGAUAUUAAAAGUAUGCCCACGAUGGAAUUAGCUCUUAUAAAUCACUUCUAGACUGUUGUGUGAUCACAUGUCUUGAUGAUUGAUGUUAAUAUAUAUAUAUGGUUUUGCUCUAUGAAAAUCCUUUUGUUUUCACAUAUUGCCAUGCUAAACUAGCAGCACUCUUAUCUUUUUUGCAGUCACUACUCAGAGGUAGGUUCUUGCUUGAAAGACCUGUUGAAGAGGAGAGACCAUCUUCAGUGGCAGUGAGUGAAUUAAAUUAAUUAAGUCACUACUCAGAAGUAAAAUAUCAAUUAGCCUGUUACUUUAUCAGAUUGUGUUAUAUUUCCUCAACAAUGUCUAAUUUGAGUUUAUAGAAGCAAUAAGCCCAUGUAGUAAACAGUGGAUGUAGUAAACCUAUUUUAGUCUAAUUUCAAAGGGUUUUUAGUUUAUAAAUUUUCAAGUUUAUAACUGUACAUAUUGAACUUGUGCAUUUUUUUUUUGCAAUCAAUUAUUUGCACUAUUUGAACUUGUAAUUUUGCUAUUUAAAUAUUAACAUGAUUUUUCAAUAUUUUGACUAAAAAAUAUUAAUUUAUUAUAUGAUUAAAUAAUAUCUUUUUGACUAAAAGUAUAUAUUUAAUACUAAUUAAUUUUUUAUAUUAAUAAUGUUUAAUUUUAAUAUUUAAUUUUUUUAAAUGUUUUUAAAAGUUAGUGGCGAUUUUAUGUAAAAUGCCGCUAAAGAACGGUACUUUUAGCGGCGUUUGUGAUAAAAAGCGUCACUAAAGGUCAUGUUCUUUAGCGGCAAUUGUUAGAAAACCGUCGCUAAAGGCUAUGUUCUUUAGCGGCAUUUAUUAAAAAAGCGCCGCUAAAGAACAUGGUCUUUAGCGGCAUUUAUUUCUAAAAGCGCCGCAAGUAUUAACGGCGUGGUCAAUAGCGGCAUUUUUUGUGGCGCUUGUUGAAGCGCCGCAAAUACUUACAACUGCGCUAAAAGGCGCCGCUGAAGGCCUAAAAAAAUGCCGUUAAAACCCUAUUUUGGUGUAGUGAUAGUAAGAUCAUCUAGCUGUAAGCUGCAAUCAACAGCACAUGAUGAAUUAUGUAAAAUACCAUGACGUAGAACCUCACCUUUUUCAAAUAACUCAUUUCCUUCACAAGCAGACUCUCCUCUUCCUUAAGUUCAGCAAAAGUCUGAAAAAUGACGGAUUCUUCCAGUUAAUAAUAAUACCCCUGAAUGAAUCAUCUUCGGAUUUUCUUUCAUAAAACAUUUCCCACCAAAAACAUGAAUCAAAAAGAUCAAUCACUUUACGUUCUUUCUUCUCUAUCUCUUCGUGGUUGUGCUAGUGGUUCCAUUAGCAGUAACGCCCUGCAAAAUACAUCAACUGAUCAAUAUAAUUUUAAACUGCAAAAUACAUCAACUGAUCAAGAACCAACAAAUUGAAAAAAAAAAUGCUAUAGGAUAAUUUGGAAUACUAGAUGGAUGAAAAUAGUAAAUUUCAAAAGUGGAUAAACAAUUGAACAAAAGCUUGGAGAUUUGGUGGCAGCCCACCUAAAACCCAGGCACAAUUAAAAUCUAAUUUUGAUAAUAAGCUUUCAAGGGUGUUCCAAUGGCGGGUUUUGAGAUAUUUGUGUAUGACAGCAGCGUAGAAAUUGGGAAGCCAAAGCCAGUCCACUAACCCAGCCGCUCCUACUCACGGAAGUGGGCAAUAGUAACACGGCACGCCACAUUACCAAAGAUGUUAACACAUGAUUGAAUUUAAACCUUAUAUCCAUCCAUUGUAUUUGAACUGUUCAGGUCACGUGACUUUUUUAUCAUAUGAUCUGUCCUGACGGCAACCAGUUAUUGGGUCACUACCUGUAUAAGCACUUGCAUUCCCAUUUUGUCUCCCAGUUGUAUUUCCAACUAAUUAUCACUGUUCAUUCUACCUUCGCCACUAUUCAAAGAUUAGAUUUCAUAGCUUCUCAAUCUUAUCUCAAAGAAUCUAUAAUUAAGAUGCUUUAAUAAUCGCG